UACGAACUGUGCAAACGUUAUUCGGAAUCACUGGGCUUAAAGGGUGCGUAGGCGGCUUGUUAAGUAGGGUGUGAAAGCCCCGGGCUCAACCUGGGAAUUGCAUUUGAGACUGCGUAGCUAGGGUGCGGAAGAGGGAAGCGGAAUUUCCGGUGUAGCGGUGAAAUGCGUAGAUAUCGGAAGGAACACCAGUGGCGAAAGCGGCUUCCUGGUCCAGCACCGACGUUCAGGCACGAAAGCGUGGGGAGCAAACAGG
RNAcentral lists this ribosomal RNA (253 nucleotides) under uncultured bacterium. RNAcentral's name for it is "partial 16S ribosomal RNA". It matches the Rfam family "Bacterial small subunit ribosomal RNA", at positions 524 to 776 of the family's 1533-position model. The record is from RNAcentral.